AGAGUUUGAUCCUGGCUCAGGAUGAACGCUGGCGGCGUGCCUAAUACAUGCAAGUCGAACGAGGUGCUUUUGUAGCAAUACGAAAGUAUCCUAGUGGCGAACGGGUGAGUAACGCGUUGGUGACCUACCCCAAAGUGUGGGAUAACAGUCCGAAAGGAUUGCUAAUACCGCAUGUGGUCCUCAGGCCUAGAAACUGAUGACUAAAGGAGCAAUUCGCUUUGGGAGGGACCUGCGUCCCAUCAGCUAGUUGGUAGGGUAAUGGCCUACCAAGGCGACGACGGGUAGGGGACCUGAGAGGGUGACCCCCCACAAUGGAACUGAAACACGGUCCAUACACCUACGGGUGGCAGCAGUAGGGAAUAUUGCACAAUGGGCGAAAGCCUGAUGCAGCAACGCCGCGUGUGCGAUGAAGGCCUUCGGGUCGUAAAGCACUUUUCUGGGAGAUGAGAAAGGACAGUAUCCCAGGAAUAAGUCUCGGCUAACUACGUGCCAGCAGCCGCGGUAAAACGUAGGAGGCGAGCGUUAUCCGGAUUCACUGGGCGUAAAGCGCGUGCAGGUGGUUCGGUAAGUUAGGCGUGAAAUCUCCCGGCUCAACUGGGAGAGGUCGUCUAAUACUACCGGACUUGAGAGCAGAAGAGGAAGAUGGAAUUCCCGGUGUAGUGGUGAAAUGCGUAGAUAUCGGGAGGAACACCAGUGGCGAAGGCGAUCUUCUGGUCUGUUUCUGACACUCAGACGCGACAGCUAGGGUAGUAAACGGGAUUAGAGACCCCGGUAAUCCUAGCCGUAAACGAUGUGAACUUGGCGUGGUGGGUUAAACUCCAUCAGUGCCGAACAAACACGAUAAGUUCACCGCCUGGGGACUACGGCCGCAAGGUUAAAACUCAAAGGAUUGACGG
RNAcentral lists this ribosomal RNA (896 nucleotides) under uncultured bacterium. RNAcentral's name for it is "bacterial SSU rRNA". It matches the Rfam family "Bacterial small subunit ribosomal RNA", at positions 8 to 916 of the family's 1533-position model. The record is from RNAcentral.